This 465-nucleotide ribosomal RNA is filed under the name uncultured bacterium. RNAcentral's name for it is "partial 16S ribosomal RNA". It matches the Rfam family "Bacterial small subunit ribosomal RNA", at positions 28 to 507 of the family's 1533-position model. The record is from RNAcentral.
GACGAACGCUGGCGGUGUGCUUAACACAUGCAAGUCGAACGGUAAGGCCCUUUCGGGGGUACACGAGUGGCGAACGGGUGAGUAACACGUGAGUAACCUGCCCUCAUCUCUGGGAUAACAGUCGGAAACGGUUGCUAAUACUGGAUAUGAGCUUGCAAGGCAUCUUGUGGGUUGGAAAGAUUUUUUGGUUGGGGAUGGACUCGCGGCCUAUCAGCUUGUUGGUGAGGUAGUGGCUCACCAAGGCUUCGACGGGUAGCCGGCCUGAGAGGGCGACCGGCCACAUUGGGACUGAGAUACGGCCCAAACUCCUACGGGAGGCAGCAGUGGGGAAUAUUGCACAAUGGACGGAAGUCUGAUGCAGCAACGCCGCGGGCGGGAUGACGGCCUUCGGGUUGUAAACCGCUUUCAAUUGUGACGAAGCUUUUUGUGACGGUAGCAGUAGAAGAAGCACCGGCUAACUACGUG